Molecule: ribosomal RNA, 427 nt
Filed under: uncultured prokaryote
Description: bacterial SSU rRNA
Rfam family: Bacterial small subunit ribosomal RNA
Source: RNAcentral
UGGGGAAUAUUGGACAAUGGGCGAAAGCCUGAUCCAGCCAUGCCGCGUGUGUGAAGAAGGUCUUCGGAUUGUAAAGCACUUUAAGUUGGGAGGAAGGGCAGUAAGUUAAUACCUUGCUGUUUUGACGUUACCAACAGAAUAAGCACCGGCUAACUUCGUGCCUGCAGCCGCGGUAAUACGAAGGGUGCAAGCGUUAAUCGGAAUUACUGGGCGUAAAGCGCGCGUAGGUGGUUCAGCAAGUUGGAUGUGAAAUCCCCGGGCUCAACCUAGGAACUGCAUCCAAAACUACUGAGCUAGAGUACGGUAGAGGGUGGUGGAAUUUCCGGUGUAGCGGUGAAAUGCGUAGAUAUAGGAAGGAACACCAGUGGCGAAGGCGACCACCUGGACUGAUACUGACACUGAGGUGCGAAAGCGUGGGGAGCAAACA